Molecule: ribosomal RNA, 486 nt
Filed under: uncultured bacterium
Lineage: Bacteria
Description: partial 16S ribosomal RNA
Rfam family: Bacterial small subunit ribosomal RNA
Source: RNAcentral
AUUGAACGCUGGCGGCAUGCCUUACACAUGCAAGUCGAACGGCAGCACGGGUGCUUGCACCUGGUGGCGAGUGGCGAACGGGUGAGUAAUACAUCGGAACAUGUCCUGUAGUGGGGGAUAGCCCGGCGAAAGCCGGAUUAAUACCGCAUACGAUCUACGGAUGAAAGCGGGGGACCUUCGGGCCUCGCGCUAUAGGGUUGGCCGAUGGCUGAUUAGCUAGUUGGUGGGGUAAAGGCCUACCAAGGCGACGAUCAGUAGCUGGUGUGAGAGGACGACCAGCCACACUGGGACUGAGACACGGCCCAUACUCCUACGGGAGGCAGCAGUGGGGAAUUUUGGACAAUGGGCGAAAGCCUGAUCCAGCAAUGCCGCGUGUGUGAAGAAGGCCUUCGGGUUGUAAAGCACUUUUGUCCGGAGAGAAAUCCUUGGCCCUAAUACGGUCGGGGGAUGACGGUACCGGAAGAAUAAGCACCGGCUAACUACGUG